RNAcentral lists this ribosomal RNA (253 nucleotides) under uncultured bacterium. Its description in RNAcentral is "partial 16S ribosomal RNA". It matches the Rfam family "Bacterial small subunit ribosomal RNA", at positions 524 to 776 of the family's 1533-position model. The record is from RNAcentral.
UGCGUAGGGCGCAAGCGUUGUCCGGAAUUACUGGGCGUAAAGGGCUCGUAGGUGGCCAACUAAGUCGGACGUGAAAUCCCUCAGCUUAACUGGGGAACUGCGUCCGAUACUGGAUGGCUUGAGUUUGGGAGAGGGAUGCGGAAUUCCAGGUGUAGCGGUGAAAUGCGUAGAUAUCUGGAGGAACACCGGUGGCGAAGGCGGCAUCCUGGACCAACACUGACACUGAGGAGCGAAAGCCAGGGGAGCAAACGGG